Molecule: ribosomal RNA, 586 nt
Filed under: uncultured bacterium
Lineage: Bacteria
Description: partial 16S ribosomal RNA
Rfam family: Bacterial small subunit ribosomal RNA
Source: RNAcentral
UGGGGAAUUUUGGACAAUGGGCGAAAGCCUGAUCCAGCAAUGCCGCGUGUGUGAAGAAGGCCUUCGGGUUGUAAAGCACUUUUGUCCGGAAAGAAAUCCUUGGCUCUAAUACAGUCGGGGGAUGACGGUACCGGAAGAAUAAGCACCGGCUAACUACGUGCCAGCAGCCGCGGUAAUACGUAGGGUGCAAGCGUUAAUCGGAAUUACUGGGCGUAAAGCGUGCGCAGGCGGUUUGCUAAGACCGAUGUGAAAUCCCCGGGCUCAACCUGGGAACUGCAUUGGUGACUGGCAGGCUAGAGUAUGGCAGAGGGGGGUAGAACUCCACGUGUAGCAGUGAAAUGCGUAGAGAUGUGGAGGAAUACCGAUGGCGAAGGCAGCCCCCUGGGCCAAUACUGACGCUCAUGCACGAAAGCGUGGGGAGCAAACAGGAUUAGAUACCCUGGUAGUCCACGCCCCAAACGAUGUCAACUAGUUGUUGGGGAUUCAUUUUCCUUAGUAACGUAGCUAACGCGUGAAGUUGACCGCCUGGGGAGUACGGUCGCAAGAUUAAAACUAAAAUGAAUUGACGGGGUCAUAGCUGUUUCCU